RNAcentral lists this ribosomal RNA (356 nucleotides) under Arthrotus niger. Its description in RNAcentral is "partial 16S ribosomal RNA". The record is from RNAcentral. Lineage: Eukaryota; Metazoa; Arthropoda; Insecta; Coleoptera; Chrysomelidae.
CUGCGGUAUUUUGACCGUACUAAGGUAGCAUAAUCAUUAGUUUUUUAAUUGAAAGCUAGAAUGAAGGGUUUGAUGAGAAUUAGCUGUCUCUAUUUUAAUUAGUGUAAAUUUUAUUUUUAAGUUAAAAAGCUUAAAUUUUAUUAUAAGACGAGAAGACCCUAUAGAGUUUUAUAAAUUAAACUAUUUUUAAAUUUAGAAUUUAGUUUAAAAUUUUUUAUUUUAUUUAAUUGGGGUGAUUGAAAAAUUUAAUAAACUUUUUUUUUAUAUUAAUAUAUUUAUAUAAAUAAUUGAUCCAAUAUAAUUGAUUAUAAGAUAAAGUUACCUUAGGGAUAACAGCGUAAUUUUAUUGGAGAGUU